Molecule: ribosomal RNA, 275 nt
Filed under: uncultured bacterium
Lineage: Bacteria
Description: partial 16S ribosomal RNA
Rfam family: Bacterial small subunit ribosomal RNA
Source: RNAcentral
AUACGGGGGGGGCAAGCGUUAUUCGGAUUCAUUGGGCGUAAAGAGCGCGUAGGCGGCUUGGUAAGUCGGGCGUGAAAUCUCCACUGCUCAACAGGGAGAGGCCGCUCGAAACUGCUGGGCUCGAGGACCGGAGAGGUUGGCGGAAUUCCAGGUGUAGCGGUGGAAUGCGUAGAUAUCUGGAAGAACACCAGUGGCGAAGGCGGCUUCCUGGAUCAAGACUGACGCUCAGGUGCGAAAGCGUGGGGAGCAAACAGGAUUAGAAACCCCGGUAGUCC